CCUAUGUAGAUGCACUUAAAAUGUUCUUAGAUGACUUAGAUUCAGUUAGAUGCAUUUUGUACGUUAAUAUGAAUGUAGAAAGCUUUGUAUUGGAUCUGGCCUCAUUUGAAUUAUCUGCAAACUUAAGACGUGGGUGAAUUUAGAAAAAAGAAGGGGGUUUUAGGUCCACCUUAUUGCAGUUGAUGAGAACAGUCAGUUAAAAUUGUAGGAAUCUUGUGCAUUGGAUGAGGUGAAAAAGAAAAGGGAAUCACGAUAUGCUUGGGUUUUGAGGAAUUAUAUGGUCUUGCUCAUCAGCAUUCUUACAGUUUGGUACUAGAGGAGUGUCCCUGCAUGUCAGGCACUUUUCUGUUGAUCCAAACCAUUGAUAUGGUGGCCCUUUGGAUGAUGGAUGCCCAAGAAUCUUCUGUUUUGAAUGAGCUCAACCCAUGUACCAGUAAACAAGAAAUACAUGGUUUGGUGAAAAGUGCAGCUAUAGUCCACAUUCAAUCUGAAAAGGGCAAAGAUCAAUGGACUAGGAUCUCCAUGUCUGGCAGAUUUCUGGUGCAUCCCUCAUCCGUAUUUAGGGUCAUCACAUCAAUGGUUUGCAUCACUGAAUCAUAGGCCCUGCAUUCAGGGAAUCCUGUAUGUACAUUUCUUUUGAUGAGCAGGGCCCAUAUAAUUCAUCUUUAAUUUCAACCAUCUAUUUAUCCAUUUGUCCUAGGAUGGCAGUCAAAAACAUUCUUUAUGGAGCAUGUCCCUUUGCAAAUUGAAACCCAUUUGAAUUCUCUUUAAGUAGUUAAUAUGAAAUCUUCUCUGGCUGUUUUUUCGCGGAGGCUUCCAUUCACAGUGGGAUUUAUUGGCAGCAUGGUGGGUACCAUAUAUGUGUCAAUGGUGCUUCACAGCUACGUUCUCUCUGUUUUCUUCUCUGUUUUACAGAUUUACAAAAGCAGAAUAGGGGAAUAAAAAGACUACUGGAAUGAGAAAGACCUUGCUCCAAUGGGCAGCGAGCAGGAUCUUCUCCAAAAUAAAUGGCCAGUGCAUCUGCAUUUCAACCCUGUCAAACAUCCAGCCCAGAAAUCAUGUUCGGUACCAAAUAUUUUUGUCAACAGCAUAAACAUUUCGUAAAUUUUAACUAGUAUCAUCUAAGUGAAGAACUGAUACAUACCACCCCAGAAUAAGUGAAGUUAAUGACCUCACUUCAGCUUCAGCAACAACAAGAAAUUCCUUUAAAGUCUGAACAGUCAAAACACUUCAAUUAGAUGUGCCAAUACAAAUAGGAAUAUUAUUUGAAAGGAGAGUUGAAAGGACAAGUUCAGACAGGGAACCACUAUUUACAUCUUACACCCACCCUUAUUGAAAGGUAUGUAGAAGGUUAGCUUGCAUAAAAUUUUAAUUUUUGGUUUCUCUAUAUGAUUUAAAUGACAUGUGGUUACUCUUAAUCCAACGUAAAGUGCAUGACUGACUAAUCUUUUUGUUCCGAUAGUGACAGGGACUCUGAAAGGAUACGAUCAGUUACUUAACCUAGUGCUUGAUGAAGCACUAGAGUUUCUAAGUGGUAUUUAUUUAUUUAUUUAUUUUGUUUUUGAAGAUUGAAUCGAAGAGGUAUUUAUCUCACGACUCUUUGGUUGGAAGUUAUGGCUGCUAUUUAUCAAAGAGAUUUUGUUGAUGAGUUGUACCAGACUAGGGUGCAUUUGGACGCAGCACAAAUCGAUAUUGGGUUAAGAACUAGAACGGUGUCAAGUUUACUUGAAAAAAAAAAAUCAAGAAAAAAGAAAAGAAGAGAAGAACCAGUAGGUCCCAUUCUCAUGUCACUAAUGUUCUCUUUUUGGGUGGAAAAUGGAGCCCACCUACCACAGCUUCUGUCCUCUGACCCUUCCCAAGUGCACAGUGGCCAGUCCUGCUGGCUGCUGGAAUAACCGACCCGAAUCAACUUGGGGCACAUGCAAACAGGUUGUCAUGAUAGCUGCAGAUGCCACUGGGGCCAUGAUCCCAUUCAAACUGGCAGAUUGCUGGUACAGGGGUGAUUGAACAUUGAACUUCUUACGAUCUCUGCUGUAUGGCCAGCCUCAUUUAUUUGCUUCCGUUACUAGUGUGCCAGUCAUUCGCUGCCCCUUUCUAGCCUCUCCUAAUUGACUGGACCACACCGGAUUCGCCAACCAUCAUCUCCUUUUUAGCUUGUCCGUUCAGCUUUGAAUACAGAGAUGCUACCUCAUUCAAGUCUUCGCUUCUAUAAAGUUGGUCAUUUAAUUUCUGUAUCCAGAGAAGUACCUAUCACCACAUGCAUCAACUGUGAACUACCGCCAUUAGCAACAAAAUGGAACUAUCAGUUGAAUAACUCAAGCCGUGGGUCAUUUGCACCACUAGCUCUAAUGCCACUUCCCUUCCAUCUGAAAAUAACUCUCAUUGUCUCAGAUAAUUCUUUGCUGCAUUCAUUCUUGCUUGCAUUGUCUUUCUAUUGCAUGCGAGAAGAGAGUAUUUAUUAAUGCUUGUUGUGCUGGCUUUAUGGCCUUGGGGUUGCUUGAUGUGUUUUCUGGGUUUCUUAGCUCCCAAGACGAGGAGUGGGUUGUUCAUCUCUGAGGUUUCUGCUUCCAAUCCUGGCUUACGGGGGAGCAGGGGUUUGCUAUUCCGUUAGUAGGAAUGGCCGGCUUGAGGGCCACAGGAUGUCGAAUCUCAAUGGAAGAAAGAAAAGACGAUGAUGAGCGGAUGGAAAACAGUCAUUUUGAGGAUGGUACAUCGAGUAUGGAACAGAAAGGGGUGAAUCAGCAGACACUUUCAGCUGCUGCCAAGCAAUCUAUGCAGGAAUCGAUGGGUUACCAAGAUGUUGAAGUUGCAAAUGACCAAAAUUCUGUUGAAAAUGCAUCAGAAGUUGCUCCUGGUUAUGUGCCAAGUGAACUUAGUGAACAAAUUAUUUUUGAAAUCUCUUCAUUGAUGGUCCGCCCAUUAGGUGUUGCACAAGGAACAUUUCAACAUUUGGGUUUUCAUGAAGACUGAGAAGCAAUCAGCCUAUCAAGAACCUGAGUUCACUAAUCUAUAUGUAAAGAAUCUGGAAAAUGGGUUGACUGAUGAUCUCUUUGGGAAAAGUUGUGUAUUUGGGAAUAUAAUCAAUGCUAUUGUAAUGAAGGAUGAUUAUGGGAAAUCCCAGGGCUUUGGGUUUGUUAGCUUCGAGUUGCCAAAAGACACUAAGAAGGCUAUGUAGGCCAUGAAUGGUGCACAACUGGAAUCUCCAUGUAGGAAGGGCUCAAAAGAAGGCUGAACGAGAGCAGAUGCUAAGUUGCGAUUUCAAGGGUUUGAACGUGUAUGUGAAAAAACCUCGUUGACUCUAUUGAUGACAACAAAUUAUGUGAAAUUUUUGGUACUUCGGCAAAACAAGUUCAGCAAA
Magnolia sinica is the source of this 3358-nucleotide long non-coding RNA. RefSeq lists it as uncharacterized. The record is from RefSeq and is a predicted model, not a curated record. NCBI's taxonomy places the organism in Eukaryota, Viridiplantae, Streptophyta, Magnoliopsida, Magnoliales, Magnoliaceae. The transcript is spliced from 6 exons.